RNAcentral lists this long non-coding RNA (1091 nucleotides) under Triticum aestivum (bread wheat). Its description in RNAcentral is "long non-coding RNA (TAES_LNC018504)". The record is from RNAcentral. Lineage: Eukaryota; Viridiplantae; Streptophyta; Magnoliopsida; Poales; Poaceae.
GCCCAUUGUUGUUUAUAAACUACAGAGGUUCGCUGGCCUAUACACAACUCUAUCAGGUUUUGAACCUCGCCUAAUCUCAUAGAAUAUUUUUGAAUUUUGUCUUGGCCAGAAUUACUAUAUAUGAUUUAUCUUUGUCUCUUUCUUACCCAUUCCUUCCGCAUGAGAAUUGAGGAGAUCAAACACCGACAUAAAUCGGAACGGUGACACACUUAUCGGACAGUGACAUGGUACUUCUCCACAAACAGGGUACAAAACUGUAAGAAAGCUCUUAGAAAGUGUUAAACUUAUUGGUCUGUGAUGUCGUAAUACCUGAUAGAGGUUGCUCAUGCUGUAGUGAUGAACAUAUCUUUAAAAUUAUUCGCCUUGAUGACUUCCUUUAGCUCAGUAGAAAAAAUGUAAAGAGGCAUGGGUUGUACUGCCCAGUCUAUUUUGUUUCAGUACUGAAGUUACAACUAUUUUUUGUUUUCAGCGUGAAAACUCCAAUUUUUCCACAUUGUUAGCCAGAUCCUCGAACGAUUUUGAAGAACCUUUAGUCUCUAUUUUGUACACAUGUAGAUUUUCGUUGGGUACAGUUGCAUCACAAAAUCUUACAUAUGUUGUGGACUAACCUGCAGAUAAUGCUACUUUAGAAACCAUGUGGACGCCAUCCAAGGACAAAGAAAGAAGCGGUAUGGGCUAGGGAUUACAUGUUGGCUACCACUUACUGGAAACAUGAGACGCGGAUUGACAUGGAAACAAGGUAUUACAAAUUCCAUACUCCCAUAAUCUAGAAAAGGAUGAGUCAGACUUCCCUUCACGAGCUUUCUUUUCUUUAUGGUUCAUGUACAAACAGAAGAAACGAGAAGUGGUUUCUCUCAAUGCCACACGCUUAGUUGGUGGAGAAAGCUGAUUGAUAUUCCAAGUACGCAUGGAAAGUAACUUGAUGAAGUAAACAACAUGGCAACAGGGUGAUUGGAUUUUUCAUCCUUUUUCACAGUUCAUUUAUAUGCUUAUUUCAGAUCAGUUACCAAUGACAUUCAAUAUAGAAAAGAAGGGGAAAACUUGUGCUUUCUAAGUACAUAUGAUUUCCAUGCUUUGGUGUUACUUCUUUU